This 4633-nucleotide long non-coding RNA is filed under the name Nothobranchius furzeri (turquoise killifish). RNAcentral's name for it is "lncRNA (ENSNFUG00015017445.1)". The record is from RNAcentral. Lineage: Eukaryota; Metazoa; Chordata; Actinopteri; Cyprinodontiformes; Nothobranchiidae.
ACCCUAGAUAAGCAGAUGGUAAUGGAUAGAUGGAUAAUGAAACAUGAAUUACUUUUCAAUAAUGAGGGAAAAAAAUACACAUUGGAAACAAUUGUCGUCGUCGUCACUAGAUGGUGCCAUCGGAUAAGAGAAAUGCUCCGGAAAGAGACAAAGCACAUUUUUACCAUAGUCAUUGGGACAGUUUGUUUUGACAGAUUACUUUUCUUUUAUCUUAUGUUAUCUUGUCAAAGCUCUACGUGCGAGAUCUGUCUAUACCAAGGGAACGGUUACAAUCAGACUUUCAAAAAUGGGCAUUUACCACUGAACACAUUUUAGUUAACUUUUCAAGAUGGUUGCGGCCACUAAUCAACCAUAGAAAAUAAAAGAUACAUAUAAAUAUGUACAUUUUAUAGGUACUGAGCUAAAAUCCAAUCUAGUGGAAGCUGAGUGCAUCACACCAGAGCUUUCGAUGAAUGUGGAAUAGCAUGAUCAUUGUAGGUAUUUAACAACUCCAUCUCUAAACAUAAGUUGAUUUUAGUUUAACCAUCUGCUAUCAAAGACAGCAGAAGAUAUGCAGCCUUUAAAUGAAUGCUCAGUAUUUGGUGUUGUUUGACUUUCACCGCAAAAUCUUUCGUUAUUUAAGUGUUUAUGACAUGAUUCCCAGAAGCCUGAAUCCUGCCAGUACAUGACUCAGGCUGGGUGACAGUGUGUUUAUAUUUUAUAUUAUAGUUUAUAUUUUGUUAACAGUGUCACCGUUUGCCUAAUAGAGUUCCCCCGUGAAACAAUUGUUACGACCACUGAGUACCUGAGUGCAGUUUACACAGCCUUGCAGCCCCUCUUCAUUCAGGACCAUGGACAGCACCAUCACCCCUGCUCCACUACCCUUUGGGCAGUUCCAGAACACAUACCUGGUUCCCACUUUUGCUCCCACCACACAUUUAUUUAGAUGUGUUAGCCCCAACUGGUGAUUCCUAUUCCAGAAGUGGUGCAACACAACUGCUGUGACAACAACCCAGUAAUUUAACAUUUUUUUAAGUGGCAUUUUGCAGCAUUUAGAGACAUCAGUGACCAAUGUUAAAGAGCAAGUCACCCCCAAAUCAACUUAUUUUUGCUGAUAAACUAUAUAAAUGAGUGUCUAAUCAUGCUGUAGACACGUGUAGUCAAUAAUUUGAUACUUUACCGCAUCUUAGUUCAAAUUAAAACUUUCUGCCUAAAUAUGUUAAUGUUGCGCCGUUGUCAGGUAAAAAUUCUGCACUACAUUUGAAUUUAAAUCUGACAUCACUAUUGGCUAAAAGGUACACGAUGAUGUUAAUUGGUACAUUAUGAUGUCACAAUGCUGUUGUGAGCCUGUGUGUGUAUAUUUGUUAGCGGCUCUGCCCUCUCGGUCUGCUAGGCAACAGCAUUUGUUGCAUUUAGACUCUGGUAGGGGAUGACUUGCACUUUAAGUGUUCUUAGGACAUCAUCUAGUUAAAUUUACAGGGACGGCAAAUUCUACUCUUUGGAGCUUUUGAUCACGUUAUAUUGUUAUUUCCAAAGCAGUUGUUGGCUUCACAUAUGCAUUUUCCUGUUUCAUUUGCACAUCUUCAACUGCAAACCUUCUGCUGGCUUGCUUUCAUGUUUUUGACACUUUAAUCCAGGGGUGGAACCCUGCUCCAUCAAGGGCCGGUAUCUAGCAUAUUUUAGUUUCAACCCUGCUUCAACACACCUGAUUUCAUCAGCAGAUGAUUAACAGGCUUCUGCAGAGCUUGAUGAGCUGCAGCACAGGUGAAGUGUUAGAGCAAAGACAUGCAGGACACCGGCCCUCGAGGACCAGAGUUCCCCAUGCCUGCCUUAAUCUAAUAUUUGAAAUGUUUCCCAGCCUUCCUUAAUGUCUACAAGAGUGAUUCAUCUCUAAAUUACACAAAUCAGCUGUGUUCACAAUCUAAACACAUGCAGAAAACGUGUUGGAGGCAGUGUGCAGCACCAGGUAUGUCAGCUCAAUUUUUUUUUAAGUCCUCACAGAGCAGCCCACAAGUCUGAAGUGGAAUAUUCUGGCCACAACCCAAGCACAAAGCCAUGAUCUUCUCACGGACAUAAACUAAAAUAAAAGCAUUCGUAUCUUGCUUUGGUUUAACUUGACAUUUUUUUUUACUUUUCAUUCAUAAUUUGCCAUUUCUGUUUUGAUUUUUGAGUAUUCCUUCCUUAACCAUUCCUUCAACAAGCUUUAGAUCAGUGCUUUAUGUUUUACUCACCUCUGGUUUUCUGACAAUCAGUUAGUGAAGGAAGACAGUCAGCCUCCAGUUCUGGUAGAGAUGUUAUUUUGAUAAAAAAAAAAAAGAACCAAUUUCCCUUAAUGGUGGUGAGAAGCCAAAAGGCAUGACGUUGUAUCAAGGUAAAGGUUUGUGCUAUCCAGAAAAUAAAAACUCUUACAAUUUGGCACUUUUUAAGAUACAAACUGCUUAAAGUUAUAAAUAAAAGUCCAUUUUGGACUUCGUUUGCAAUCCAGUUUGAAAAAAAAAUGUUAGGAUGAUGCACCAAAAGGGUGAUCAGCCCUUGUUUGAACUUCUAAAUCAAAUAUUUAAUAAAGAAACAAUGCAGAGACUGAAACCAAAGACCAUUGGAUCUUCAUCUAGAUUAAAACAUUCUUUUCCAGUCAAGUGCUGAAAGGAUACAAUUUCCAUUCAGUCACUUUGCAUUCUGAGCAGCUCAUGAGACGUCCUUCCAAACCACUGAAAUAUCAUUAUUGUGAAAACAGUUAUAUCCUUUAUUUUAUGACUGCCACUCUUCAGUUUUGUGGAAGGUGAACGAGGACCCAUUACCCUAUUCACUUUGUAAUCCCCACCCCUUUUUUAUUAGCAGCAUAAUGACACAAAUACAUUAUCAGAGCUAAUCAGAGCCAAAUGAAGAAAAGUAGUGGAGUGAGACUAAAGGAAUUGCCUUUUUCUCCCCUUCUUCUGCUGACAGGCUCAUGUUAAAAUUUCCCCAGCCAAUUUCCCCUCCACUUCUUCUGUCUUUUAUAUUCUAGUUUUUUUUUCCAUCGCCACGAUCCCCAGCGCCCAUUUGUUUUUUUGCUCUCCAUUUUUAAUCCUGAUCGCCAUCCUCUCUGACUUUCUCCUUUCCCUCACAUCUCUCUUUUCCCCCUCACUGUGUCUCUUCUCUCUACCUCUUUCCUCUUCUACCCCCCACCCCCCACCCCCCAUCUCGGGGGAUUGCCUAUUUGAAAUUCCACUUGUGUGUUGGAGCGGCAGGAUGGAUUAGGGCAUGGACAGGCCCCACAAACCACCCUGAUCUACAGGACAGCUUUUCAAUCACUUCUCCAAUGCAGUUCCACCUAUAUAAACACACCUAGAGGGAAAGGGCCACAGAGAGAGAAAAAAAUGAAAAUAAAACUGAGAUAAAAACAAACAGAAAAGGACAAAUGUAUAAUUUUAAGAAGAUUCAUCGCAGUUGUACAAACAGGCUGAAAUAUUAGGGAAUAGGCUACGUUUUACACGUAGGUGUUUUAUGGCACAUGAGCCAUCUAAAAGUGACAACAAUGGCUCCUUUGCACCUGUAAUAGCUAAACGUGCUUCACAAUGGCUGGCCUGCAAUGAUGUCACUUUAGCUUUGUUGUGUGUCCCAGUUUGGCUUUUUUUUGUCUGCCAUCAUAUUCGUUUAAACACUGUUGCACCUUGGUACUUUUUUAGUAAAAACUUACAGAUCCUCCUUUUCUUUUUUGUCUACGGGAUCAAUUGCAUGAACUUGCAAUGCUGGCAUCAUAGUGGUGAUGGUGGGGCAGUAUAAAAAGGUUACAAAUGAAAGCGUUUGUUCAUUGCACUCUCGUCAGGUACUCAGUGCAUCGAUUCUGUGUAGCUCAUCAAACAGUUUUGUUGCAAAAGUGACACUUGAACAGUGAUCACCUUCAGGGGGUGAGAUAAUAAGAUGGUGAGUAAUUGUAGUAGUUUAACAAAAUCACUAAUGGUUAAUGCUGUCAUAUAUUUAGAAAGUAUUUGUUAUCGUCUGUGUUUAAUCAGUAGGAACGGUCAGUAGGAAAUCUGUAUAUCUAAGAAAGUCAGCAUGUUGUAACAAUUUACAAGCCUAGGCUACUUCCUCUUUUGACUUUUAUAGAUAUUCUAUAGAUAUAAAGCUUAAAGUUGGCAUUGCCAUACAUACAAGUAGGGUUGUCACAGUAACCGGUAUAGCGGUAAACCCCGGUAAAAAAGUUGACAAUAAAAAUAACCGUCCAGUUUUUAAAAAAACUAUAUUAUCUCGGUGGGUUUACCGUGGCCGCGGUUUCAGCGCGGUGACCCUUACCAGCCACCGUCGCUUCAGCUGAAGUUCCCGCGGCGCGCACACGCACUUUUUAGUUUGCAACGGCACCAAAACUUUGAAGCUGAAAUAAUGGCCGAAGGAGGAGACGGCAGCGCCCAGGACAUCCAUCAGCCCUCAAAGAAGACUAAAUCGGAAGUAUGGGCAUAUUUUGGAUUUCUGAAAAAUGCUGAGGGACAGUUAAUAGAAGACGGCUAUCCCGUUUGCAGAACAUGCAGGAAACAAGUGUCUGCAAAAGGCAGCAACACUUCGAAUCUAAUGGCACAUCUGCGUGACCAUCACCCACGUCUCUACAGCCAGUGCAAGGUAAGUUAACAUUAGCAUUUUAGCUUAAAUGCAUGACGUGAGGACUUUUGGUUGAGGGAGA